GCAGGGCUCGCGCUGCCCAUCGCAUUUGUCGCAUUUUGCGAUUUUUCAGAAAAAAAUGCGACAGAAAUUCCGGAAAUGCGACACGGACAUUUCGUAUUUUAGUAUUCGCGCGCCAUUUUGAAUUUCAGCUGUUGGCAUCCAAACAGCCUCAGGGCUGUUUUACCUGUGCAGAAUGUGGAUACCCUGUCGCAUGGGAACAAUAAGACUUAGGGGCGUCUUGUUUAUUUAGCAGUUUACACAAAACAAAGGGUUGAUCCUCUAUGUGCAGACUUCAUGAAGUCCCUUCUCCUCUACAUGAUGAGAUUCACCAAAGGACCACUUUGUCAUUCUGGAUUUCAAGAUGAAAACAGAAUUAUUCAGUGAAAAUGUGAUGUGAAACUAUGAUCAUGUGUUAUGUAUUACAGUAAUCAAUUUUCAGUAACUUUGUCAUCAGUGACUUUUUCUAGACUGCAAAUUUAAUGAGUAAUAUAUGUAAUUUACACUACUAAAAUGAUUAAUAAACAUUUAGAAACUCA
Long non-coding RNA from Ostrea edulis (European flat oyster), 515 nucleotides. RefSeq lists it as uncharacterized. The record is from RefSeq and is a predicted model, not a curated record. Lineage: Eukaryota; Metazoa; Mollusca; Bivalvia; Ostreida; Ostreidae. The transcript is spliced from 2 exons.